This 253-nucleotide ribosomal RNA is filed under the name uncultured bacterium. RNAcentral describes it as "partial 16S ribosomal RNA". It matches the Rfam family "Bacterial small subunit ribosomal RNA", at positions 524 to 776 of the family's 1533-position model. The record is from RNAcentral.
GACGGGGGGUCCUAGCGUUGUUCGGAAUCAUUGGGCGUAAAGCGUGUGCAGGUGGCUUAGUAAGUUAGGUGUGAAAGCCUUGGGCUCAACCCAAGAAGUGCACUUAAAACUGCUAAGCUUGAGUAUGGAAGAGGGUCGUGGAAUUCCUGGUGUAGUGGUGAAAUACGUAGAUAUCAGGAGGAACACCGGUGGCGAAGGCGGCGACCUGGUCCAAUACUGACACUCAUACACGAAAGCGUGGGGAUCAAACAGG